AUGGUUGUCGUCAGCUCGUGUCGUGAGAUGUGGGUUAAGUCCCGCAACGAGCGCAACCCUCGCCUCUAGUUGCCAGCAUUCGGUUGGGCACUCUAGAGGGACUGCCGGCGACAAGUCGGAGGAAGGUGGGGAUGACGUCAAAUCAUCAUGCCCCUUAUGACCUGGGCUACACACGUGCUACAAUGGGCGGUACAAAGGGCUGCGAACCCGCGAGGGGGAGCGAAUCCCAAAAAGCCGCUCUCAGUUCGGAUUGCAGGCUGCAACUCGCCUGCAUGAAGCCGGAAUCGCUAGUAAUCGCGGAUCAGCAUGCCGCGGUGAAUACGUUCCCGGGCCUU
Molecule: ribosomal RNA, 335 nt
Filed under: uncultured Geobacillus sp.
Lineage: Bacteria; Bacillati; Bacillota; Bacilli; Caryophanales; Anoxybacillaceae
Description: bacterial SSU rRNA
Rfam family: Bacterial small subunit ribosomal RNA
Source: RNAcentral